This 69-nucleotide transfer RNA is filed under the name Cabassous chacoensis (Chacoan naked-tailed armadillo). RNAcentral describes it as "tRNA-Arg". It matches the Rfam family "tRNA". Rfam says of the family: Transfer RNA (tRNA) molecules are approximately 80 nucleotides in length. Lineage: Eukaryota; Metazoa; Chordata; Mammalia; Cingulata; Chlamyphoridae. The record is from RNAcentral.
CGGUAGCUAGUUUAAUUCAAAAUAACUGAUUUCGACUCAAUAGACUAUGAUUUACUUCAUAGCUACCAC